AAACCAUUAACUUGAUCACCUUUGGCAAUUACAGAAGCUCUUAUUGUCACCUUCAUCAAUACAUUCUCAACCUUUGUUGAAUAUAUCAUAAGGUUAAAAGCAUUUAUAUGGAAAUCAGAUUCCUUUUCAGUUUUGGAACAUACCUCCUUCUUUGUAGCAACAUUGUGUGAUUUUCUUCCUCCUUCCUAUCCUCCAUUGUUCUUUUCUCUUCUAGACAUUGUCUCGUUUUCUUCUUCUUCCUUGCAAAUCGUGGUUUUCACCA
Molecule: long non-coding RNA, 262 nt
Filed under: Vigna radiata
Lineage: Eukaryota; Viridiplantae; Streptophyta; Magnoliopsida; Fabales; Fabaceae
Description: long non-coding RNA (VRAD_LNC000350)
Source: RNAcentral